Molecule: ribosomal RNA, 274 nt
Filed under: uncultured bacterium
Lineage: Bacteria
Description: partial 16S ribosomal RNA
Rfam family: Bacterial small subunit ribosomal RNA
Source: RNAcentral
CUACGUAGGUCCCGAACGUUGCGCGAAAUUACUGGGCGUAAAGGGUCCGUAGGCGGUCUGGUAAGUGGAAGGUGAAAACCUGGGGCUCAACUCCAGAAUUGCCUUCCAAACUGCCGGACUUGAGGCAGGGAGAGGUCGGCGGAAUUCCCGGUGUAGUGGUGAAAUGCGUAGAUAUCGGGAGGAACACCAGUGGCGAAGGCGGCCGACUAGAACUGUCCUGACGCUGAGGGACGAAAGCCAGGGGAGCGAACCGGAUUAGAAACCCGUGUAGUCC